UCCCUGGUAGACUAGUGGCUAGCAUGUGGCACUUUCACUGCCAUGGCCUGGGUUUGAUUCAUGGUCAAUAAA
Molecule: non-coding RNA, 72 nt
Organism: Pangasius djambal
Lineage: Eukaryota; Metazoa; Chordata; Actinopteri; Siluriformes; Pangasiidae
Source: the annotation of a GenBank genome assembly